Molecule: ribosomal RNA, 257 nt
Filed under: uncultured Nocardioidaceae bacterium
Lineage: Bacteria; Bacillati; Actinomycetota; Actinomycetes; Propionibacteriales; Nocardioidaceae
Description: partial 16S ribosomal RNA
Rfam family: Bacterial small subunit ribosomal RNA
Source: RNAcentral
UUUACAGUUGGCUCCCAGGCUUCGACGGGUAGCCGGCCUGAGAGGGUGACCGGCCACACUGGGACUGAGACACGGCCCAGACUCCUACGGGAGGCAGCAGUGGGGAAUAUUGGACAAUGGGCGAAAGCCUGAUCCAGCAACGCCGCGUGAGGGAUGACUGCCUUCGGGUUGUAAACCUCUUUCAGCGGGGACGAAGCGAAAGUGACGGUACCCGCAGAAGAAGCACCGGCCAACUACGUGCCAGCAGCCGCGGCCGA